GAUGAACGCUGGCGGCGUGCCUAAUACAUGCAAGUCGAGCGAACAGACGAGGAGCUUGCUCCUCUGACGUUAGCGGCGGACGGGUGAGUAACACGUGGAUAACCUACCUAUAAGACUGGGAUAACUUCGGGAAACCGGAGCUAAUACCGGAUAAUAUAUUGAACCGCAUGGUUCAAUAGUGAAAGACGGUUUUGCUGUCACUUAUAGAUGGAUCCGCGCCGCAUUAGCUAGUUGGUAAGGUAACGGCUUACCAAGGCAACGAUGCGUAGCCGACCUGAGAGGGGUGGUCGGCCAACCGGGAACGAGAACCCGGUCCAGCCUCCAAGGGGGGGCAGCAGGAGGGAAUCUUCCGCAAUGGGCGAAGGCCGGACGGGGCAACGCCGGGGGGGGGAAGAGGGCUUUGGGUUCGAAAAACUCUGUUAUUGGGAAAGAAAAAAGGUGUAAGAAACCAUGCCGGUUUUGACGGUCCCUAAUAAAAAAGCCCCGGCUAACUACGG
This 497-nucleotide ribosomal RNA is filed under the name uncultured bacterium. RNAcentral's name for it is "partial 16S ribosomal RNA". It matches the Rfam family "Bacterial small subunit ribosomal RNA", at positions 28 to 506 of the family's 1533-position model. The record is from RNAcentral.